UACAGAGGGUGCAAGCGUUAAUCGGAGUUACUGGGCGUAAAGGGCGCGUAGGCGGUACAUUGAGUGAGUUGUGAAACCCCUGGGCUUAACCUAGGACGUGCAACUUAUACUGGUGUACUAGAGUACUGUAGAGGGUAGUGGAAUUUCCGGUGUAGCGGUGAAAUGCGUAGAGAUCGGAAGGAACACCAGUGGCGAAGGCGGCUACCUGGACAGAUACUGACGCUGAGGCGCGAAAGCGUGGGGAGCAAACAGG
Molecule: ribosomal RNA, 253 nt
Filed under: uncultured bacterium
Lineage: Bacteria
Description: partial 16S ribosomal RNA
Rfam family: Bacterial small subunit ribosomal RNA
Source: RNAcentral